CAAUGAUGGACUGUAGAGCAGAGUUGAUGGAACCAGGAGAACCAGAGACCAAAAAGUGAUUUUUCAUUAGUGGUAAUAUUUUUGGAGUUUUGCUCUCUAGUGGGUUUUUAUUGGGUGGAAAUGAUAAAUGCUAUACAGCAGAGUAAGGAAACAUUUAAUGCUCGCUAAUAUUAGAAGAAUUUGUUUUGUUUUAUUUUUAAAAGGGUCAACAAUAACAAAAACCCCUUAACUAUGCCUGCCUCCCCUGUCGCAUAAAAGUAAUGUUACAAAAUAAGCAAUACAAAGGAUACAGAUAGAACUGUGGGACGAGACCACAAAUUAUCUUAAUUUUAUUUUUUCUUUGAAAGUUCACAUUAUUCGCUCCAGAGUUAGAACGGAGCUUCUCCCAUGCCUGCACACAGAACAGGCAAUCUAAAGUGAGCAUCUGACAGUUCACAAGCCGCGCACUGUGGAAAUAUCCGACAGUCACAGACACUUCCCAAUAUACAUGGAAAACACAAGGACUGACUAAUUAUUAGCGCCGUGUACCAAAUGAAGGAAUAAAACCAAAAACAGAAAUGAAUCACAUAAAGAAAAAUACCAGUCACACAAGCUUCUUUCGAGACACAAAUCAUAGGAAAUAUUUUGCACACAACACUAAAACAAUGCAUUUUUCUGUCCUACAUGAAGAGAAAAUACAACUUACAUUGCUGUAAAUACAAUUUCCCCAUAUUUACAAGAUCCAACUCCACAAAAUGCAUUUAUAGAUUAACAGGUCCCUGUUAAGUUCCGAGGUACUUACUAGUUUAGCGCUCUGCUCUGAGAAUAGACAGUGCUGCCCGUAAGUGUGUUUCAUUGAUACUGGAGCCAGUCUGCGCAGACAGAGCAGCGUAACUAUGUUAGGGGAAGGAGAGAUUGUUCUGUAAGCAUACUCAAUUCCUGGCAAGGGGCCACGGCACUCAGGAGGAAAAAUGGAUUUCUGUAGAUAUAAAUGGCUGAAAUCAUAAACUAAUAUGUUUUCUUCCAUUUGCAGACGUCACUGGGAUUAUGAUCCGACAGAACAGAGAAGGAGAGGGGAGCCGCUGCCUAACCAAGGGUCAGGAGGAGAUGUAGUACCCAGCCUGCUGCUGGGAAAGUUCAAAACAAACGAAAUAAAAAAGAAGAUUGUGUAUAUAAAGCCAUGGAAUGAAAAAAAAUAUACAAUAGCAAAUUACAAAGAUUUGAUUAACCCCUUAAGGACACAUGACAUGUCAGGAUUCCCUUUUAUUCCAGAAGUUUGAGAGAGAAAUCACCAACACACAUACAAUGAGUGGUUUUUAUAAUUACACAAUUAGGCAUAAAAGCAAAGCCAACCAACUGGUGUGUAUAAGGUAAACUUACACCAGGGCUCUGACUCCAUACAGGACAGUGAAAUGAACGAGACGUGGAUCUCGAUUCACCCCUGUUCCCAGUUCCCAUGUUUUUAGAGCGCGUUACCUGGUGGGGAUAGGCUAUGAGAUGCAGUGGAAUAGAAUUAAGACAUUACCCAUUAUGGAAAUCCCAUCCGCUCUCCUAAAAUAAAAGAAUGUGACAGCCGGCAAGACGACAGGAGCAAACAUGAAAACCACGGAAAUGGAACCAAAAUGCUGCCACUUACUGACCAUUUGGUGCAGUAAUUGUGUUUUGAUGCCCCACCCCUAAAAUAUUCUCCAGAACAGGCUUUGGGGCAGAUUUAUCAAAGUGUCUUGCCCUGACAAACUGUGCAAAGUACUAUAUGUACAUGGCGGUUACCAUGGAAACCAGCAGGAACAUUGCAGCGUUAACGCCUCCCCUUUUACAAUUCUGCGCCACUUUUCAGAACAGAAUACUUUGCUAAAUCUCCCCAUUGUUUACUGGGUAUGAACGGUCACAAAAAGGGUGACAUGUUCUCUUUAAAUUGGUCCUGGGUGAGAAGUAUAGCACAUGAUAAAAGUAGAGGGCCACAGACAGACACAGGGAAGGAUUUCCUGGGAUGAGAAAACCAGGCUUAAUGUAGGGAGAUAGCGCCUUUUCCGAAAUAAUUCCUUCACCCACAGAAUUCGUUCAUCCUUCCUGUUUCCUUUAAAAAGACUACAGUCAAAAUCUCGCCUCCUAAAAUCUAUCACAAUAUUCACACACAUAAACCUAGACUCCGGCCACAGCCAUCCAGAUACGUAAACCUAGACUCCGACCACAGCUGGAUAACAACCCACAAGAG
Molecule: long non-coding RNA, 2194 nt
Filed under: Pelobates cultripes (western spadefoot toad)
Lineage: Eukaryota; Metazoa; Chordata; Amphibia; Anura; Pelobatidae
Source: RNAcentral